Non-coding RNA from Paramuricea clavata, 744 nucleotides. The record is from the annotation of a GenBank genome assembly. NCBI's taxonomy places the organism in Eukaryota, Metazoa, Cnidaria, Anthozoa, Malacalcyonacea, Plexauridae.
CAUCAUAUAAAGCUAUUCUUAAAAUAUUUACAAAAUCUCAAAUGAAAUCAUUGGUCGGAUUCUGGCCUACGGAGCAGGCUGUAUUACAGCCGGCAUGAGAGAAAGACGGGCAAUGACCGUUUCGGUCAUUCAUCGCCUGGGGUCAUUCCAUUUAAUACCCACUGUGACGAGAUUUUCUAAAGGGGUCUGAAAUUCUGAAUUCUAAGGGGGUGCCAAAUUGAGAAUUCUGAGGGGAGUCGUGAAUGAAGAAUUUCUUGAAGGGGUACUACCUUUUGACGAAAAUUUCAAUUUUUCAAUUCUGUCAUUUUUUCUAAUAUUUCUACUUUUUUUUUUAAAUUGCUGAAGUGGGUAAAAAAAUUUCCGAGGGAAUUUUUUUAUAUUAAAUGUAGGUAUUAAAUGGAAUGGCCUCUGCCACGCUGGAUAGUUGGAGAUUUAUACUACAGUGUAGAGCCAGAUGAUCUGUCAGGUCUGAGUGUGUGUCCAUGGAAUUUUUGCUAUGAUGUCUACGAUUGUAGUUUAGCUUGAUUGGCGAUCCAUCUGAUGUGUAUAAAUACAGUAUUGGACAAGCCAUUAAAGAAAUAUCAGCUAUGAUUUGCUCCCAGAUCCAUUGCCAAAAUUUGUCUAUAAUGCGUGCGGAUAGUAUGUCUUGUGUUGACACUGUAACGGAUAAUCCUGCAGACGGAUGAUGCAUUUUGAGGAAUAGAUCUCCUGUACAAACUGGGCUAAUUUCAAACACAUAUGACC